UGCAGUCGAGCGGAUGAGUGGAGCUUGCUCCAUGAUUCAGCGGCGGACGGGUGAGUAAUGCCUAGGAAUCUGCCUGGUAGUGGGGGAUAACGUUUCGAAAGGAACGCUAAUACCGCAUACGUCCUACGGGAGAAAGUGGGGGAUCUUCGGACCUCACGCUAUCAGAUGAGCCUAGGUCGGAUUAGCUAGUUGGUGGGGUAAUGGCCCACCAAGGCGACGAUCCGUAACUGGUCUGAGAGGAUGAUCAGUCACACUGGAACUGAGACACGGUCCAGACUCCUACGGGAGGCAGCAGUGGGGAAUAUUGGACAAUGGGCGAAAGCCUGAUCCAGCCAUGCCGCGUGUGUGAAGAAGGUCUUCGGAUUGUAAAGCACUUUAAGUUGGGAGGAAGGGCAGUAAGUUAAUACCUUGCUGUUUUGACGUUACCAACAGAAUAAGCACCGGCUAACUUCGUGC
RNAcentral lists this ribosomal RNA (456 nucleotides) under Metapseudomonas otitidis. Its description in RNAcentral is "bacterial SSU rRNA". It matches the Rfam family "Bacterial small subunit ribosomal RNA", at positions 56 to 508 of the family's 1533-position model. The record is from RNAcentral. Lineage: Bacteria; Pseudomonadati; Pseudomonadota; Gammaproteobacteria; Pseudomonadales; Pseudomonadaceae.